This 369-nucleotide ribosomal RNA is filed under the name Triticum aestivum (bread wheat). RNAcentral's name for it is "partial small subunit ribosomal RNA". The record is from RNAcentral. Lineage: Eukaryota; Viridiplantae; Streptophyta; Magnoliopsida; Poales; Poaceae.
AUGCUAACACUCUGGCAGCAUUGUUCUUACUUAAAUGAUUCAUUCAACAAAUCUGCUGAAGUGAAAAAGCCUGAGCGAGUAACGGAGUUCCACCCUAUUAGACUUGUAAUGUACUCUGCAAACUUAUCUCCCAAGAUUCUUGCAAACCGGUUGAAGGAGAUACUGCCAGAAAUCAUCUCGCCAACACAGUCCGCAUUUGUUCUGGGGAGGAUGAUUGCAGACAAUGUGUUAUUGGCAUAUGCGAUUACUCACCUGAUGCAUAGGAGAAAGGGUGGUCGUGUGGGGCUGGUUGCAGUCAAGCUAGACAUGAGCAAGGCUUGUGACGGGUGGAAUGGAGCUUUUUGGAAAGAGUCCGUUAAGUACCGAGUU